RNAcentral lists this transfer RNA (73 nucleotides) under Rhodoluna sp. RNAcentral's name for it is "tRNA-Ala". It matches the Rfam family "tRNA". Rfam says of the family: Transfer RNA (tRNA) molecules are approximately 80 nucleotides in length. Their secondary structure includes four short double-helical elements and three loops (D, anti-codon, and T loops). The record is from RNAcentral. RNAcentral also lists the same sequence under 2 other names. Lineage: Bacteria; Bacillati; Actinomycetota; Actinomycetes; Micrococcales; Microbacteriaceae.
GGGCCCGUGGCGCAGCUGGUAGCGCACCUGCAUGGCAUGCAGGGGGUCAGGGGUUCAAAUCCCCUCGGGUCCA